Molecule: ribosomal RNA, 952 nt
Filed under: uncultured archaeon
Lineage: Archaea
Description: bacterial SSU rRNA
Rfam family: Archaeal small subunit ribosomal RNA
Source: RNAcentral
GCUCAGUAACACGUGGACAACGUACCCUAAAGUGGAGCAUAAUCUCGGGAAACUGAGGAUAAUUCUCCAUAGACCAUGAGAUCUGGAAUGACUUAUGGUUCAAAGUUCCGGCGCUUUAGGAUCGGUCUGCGGCCUAUCAGGUAGUAGUGGGUGUAACGUACCCCCUAGCCGUUGACGGGUAUGGGCCUUGAGAGAGGGAGCCCAGAGUUGGAUUCUGAGACACGAAUCCAGGCCCUACGGGGCGCAGCAGUCGCGAAAACUUCACAAUGGGCGAAAGCCCGAUGAGGGAAUUCCUAGUGCUAGCACUUUUGUGCUAGCUUUUCUUCAGCGUAGAUAACUGGAGGAAUAAGGGCUGGGUAAGACGGGUGCCAGCCGCCGCGGUAAUACCCGCAGCCCGAGUGGUGGUCGAUUUUAUUGAGUCUAAAACGUUCGUAGCCGGUCUAAUAAAUCCUUGGGUAAAUCGGAAGGCUUAACUUUCCGAAUUCCGAGGAGACUGUUAGGCUUGGGAUCGGGAGAGGUAAGAGGUACUUCAGGGGUAGGGGUAAAAUCCUGUAAUCCUUGGAGGACCACCGGUGGCGAAGGCGUCUUACUAGAACGAAUCCGACGGUGAGGGACGAAGCCCUAGGUCGCAAACGGGAUUAGAUACCCCGGUAGUCUAGGGUGUAAACGCUGCAGACUUGGUGUUGGGGGCCCUUCGGGGGCAUUCAGUGCCGGAGAGAAGUUGUUAAGUCUGCUACUUGGGGAGUACGUCCGCAAGGAUGAAACUUAAAGGAAUUGGCGGGGGAGCACCGCAACGGGAGGAGCGUGCGGUUUAAUUGGAUUCAACACCGGAAAACUCACCAAGGGAGACCAUCACAUGAAAGCCAGGCUAAUGACUUUGCUUGAUUCUUGGAGAAGUGGUGCAUGGCCAUCGUCAGUUCGUACUGUAAAGCGUUCUCUUAAGUGAGAUAAC